AUUUGAUAGUACCUUACUACUUGGAUAUCCGUGGUAAUUCUAGAGCUAAUACAUGCGUAAAUCCCCGACUUCGGAAGGGGUGUAUUUAUUAGAUAAAAAACCAAUGCCCUUCGGGGCUUUUUGGUGAUUCAGAAUAACUUUUCAGAUCGCAUGGCCUUGCGCCGGCGACGGUUCAUUCAAAUUUCUGCCCUAUCAACUUUCGAUGGUAAGGUAUUGGCUUACCAUGGUUUCAACGGGUAACGGGAGAUUAGGGUUUGACUCCGGAGAGGGAGCCUGAGAAACGGCUACCACAUCCAAGGAAGGCAGCAGGCGCGCAAAUUACCCAAUCCCGACACGGGGAGGUAGUGACAAUAAAUACUGAUACAGGGCUCUUUUGGGUCUUGUAAUUGGAAUGAGUACAAUUUAAACCUCUUAACGAGGAACAAUUGGAGGGCAAGUCUGGUGCCAGCAGCCGCGGUAAUUCCAGCUCCAAUAGCGUAUAUUAAAGUUGUUGCAGUUAAAAAGCUCGUAGUUGAAGCUUGGGUCUGGCUGGCAGGUCCGCCUCACCGCGUGUACUUGACCGGCCGGGCCUUUCCUCCUGGAGAAUCUCAUGCCCUUCACUGGGCGUGCUGGGGAUCCAGGACUUUUACUUUGAAAAAAUUAGAGUGUUCAAAGCAGGCCUUUGCUCGAAUACGUUAGCAUGGAAUAAUAGAAUAGGACGGCAGUCUUAUUUUGUUGGUUUCUAAGACCGCCGUAAUGAUUAAUAGGGACAGUCGGGGGCAUUAGUAUUCAAUAGUCAGAGGUGAAAUUCUUGGAUCUAUUGAAGACUAACUACUGCGAAAGCAUUUGCCAAGGAUGUUUUCAUUAAUCAGUGAACGAAAGUUAGGGGAUCGAAGACGAUCAGAUACCGUCGUAGUCUUAACCGUAAACUGUGCCGACUAGGGAU
Molecule: ribosomal RNA, 925 nt
Filed under: Halojulella avicenniae
Lineage: Eukaryota; Fungi; Ascomycota; Dothideomycetes; Halojulellaceae
Description: SSU rRNA
Rfam family: Eukaryotic small subunit ribosomal RNA
Source: RNAcentral